GAUGAACGCUGGCGGCGUGCUUAACACAUGCAAGUCGAACGGAAAGGCUCCUGCUUGCAGGGGUUCUCGAGUGGCGAACGGGUGAGUAACACGUGGGUGAUCCGCCCCGCACUUCGGGAUAAGCCCGGGAAACUGGGCUGAAUACCGGCUAUGACAGCGGUUUGGAUGCCAUUGUGGAAAGCACUUUCGGUGUUGGAUGCGCCCGCGGCCUAUUCACACUUUGGUGGGGGAAUGGCCAACCAACGCGUAGACGGGGACUCUGACUGAGAGGGUGUACGGGAACGUUGACACUGAGAAACGGACCAGACUCCUACUGAAGGCAGCAGUGGGAGAUGGUGCACAAUGGGCGCAAGCCUGAUGAAGCGACGCAGCGGAGGGGAUGACGGCCUUCGGGUUGUAAACUCCUAUCGCUAGGGACAGAGCAUUAUGUGACGGUACCUAGAGAGAAAGCACCGGCUAACUACGUG
Molecule: ribosomal RNA, 467 nt
Filed under: uncultured bacterium
Lineage: Bacteria
Description: partial 16S ribosomal RNA
Rfam family: Bacterial small subunit ribosomal RNA
Source: RNAcentral